Molecule: small RNA, 735 nt
Filed under: Arabidopsis thaliana (thale cress)
Lineage: Eukaryota; Viridiplantae; Streptophyta; Magnoliopsida; Brassicales; Brassicaceae
Description: ATSL128770
Source: RNAcentral
ACAUAUUUUACUAAGAGCUUGGUCACAUUUAUGGUUUUGACAUAGAUCCCCACACUAGUCUAUCUUGAUAAAUUUUCUCAAUUUUCUAUUAAUAAACUGAAAAUUUAUGUUACACUGUUUACUAUAUAAUUAACUUUAUGUUCAUUAACUUUUUCAUGUAUCUAGUCAAUUUUUUUUUCUCCUUCUCAAUUUGAUUUCUUUGUAGCUCCAGCUCAUUAACCUUCUUUGCCGAAUCCAUAACCUUAUUUUGAAGGUCUUUGAUCUGCAGCUCCAGAUCCUUUUUUUAUUUUUUCUGCUCAAGACGCUUCUUUUUGUCUUUGCGCAUUCUAGCUGAAUCUUCUGUCAACUCUUUGCUUACUCUCUUUUGGUUAACAGAAUUAUCAACUAACAAAUAUGAUUCCAAAAAGGUCCAAUGAAAAUAAAAUAAUUGAAAAAAUGCAUCAACAUUGGUAUGUCUUAAAUUUCAUUGGACAAAUUAAUUUCAUCAUACUCAUUUGCAAUAUAGAACUCGUUCAAAGAAAGAAAAUAAAUCACAAACUGAUUAUAAGGAUCUUCACAUAUUGUACAAAAUGUGUUUAUAACGCUUAAAUUCAAACGGGAAGGCACAUCAAUGGUGGAACUCUCUACAUUAACGCCUAUACACAAAUGCGGUAAUAUGAAUACUAAUUUAUACAUUUAGAUAAAUAAAUUUGAGUAAGAAAAUAUGUUAAACCAGUUUUAACUCGCAAGUAUAUU